Molecule: ribosomal RNA, 510 nt
Filed under: uncultured bacterium
Lineage: Bacteria
Description: bacterial SSU rRNA
Rfam family: Bacterial small subunit ribosomal RNA
Source: RNAcentral
GAUUAUGGCUCAGGAUGAACGCUAGCGGCAGGCUUAACACAUGCAAGUCGAGGGGCAGCGGGAUGUAGCAAUACAUUGCCGGCGACCGGCGGAUGGGUGCGUAACGCGUAUGCAACCUACCUUAUACAGGGGAAUAACCUUUCGAAAGGGAGACUAACACCCCAUGGUAUUGAUUUAAGGCAUCUUAGAUUAAUUAAAUAUUUAUAGGUAUAAGAUGGGCAUGCGUAUGAUUAGCUAGUUGGUAAGGUAACGGCUUACCAAGGCGACGAUCAUUAGGGGUUCUGAGAGGAAGGUCCCCCACACUGGUACUGAGACACGGACCAGACUCCUACGGGAGGCAGCAGUGAGGAAUAUUGGUCAAUGGGCGCAAGCCUGAACCAGCCAUGCCGCGUGCAGGAAGACGGCCUUAUGGGUUGUAAACUGCUUUUACAUAAGACUAACCGUAUAUUUGCGAAUAUACCUGAAUGUAUUAUGAGAAUAAGGAUCGGCUAACUCCGUGCCAGCCGCCGC